AACGCAGGCGGUCUUUUAAGUCUGAUGUGAAAGCCUUCGGCUUAACCGGAGUAGUGCAUUGGAAACUGGAAGACUUGAGUGCAGAAGAGGAGAGUGGAACUCCAUGUGUAGCGGUGAAAUGCGUAGAUAUAUGGAAGAACACCAGUGGCGAAAGCGGCUCUCUGGUCUGUAACUGACGCUGAGGUUCGAAAGCGUGGGUAGCAAACA
This 207-nucleotide ribosomal RNA is filed under the name uncultured bacterium. RNAcentral describes it as "partial 16S ribosomal RNA". It matches the Rfam family "Bacterial small subunit ribosomal RNA", at positions 568 to 774 of the family's 1533-position model. The record is from RNAcentral.